Molecule: non-coding RNA, 96 nt
Filed under: human gut metagenome
Description: TPP riboswitch (THI element)
Rfam family: TPP riboswitch aptamer (THI element) (bases 4-87)
About the family: Vitamin B(1) in its active form thiamin pyrophosphate (TPP) is an essential coenzyme that is synthesised by coupling of pyrimidine and thiazole moieties in bacteria.
Source: RNAcentral
UACAGGGGAGUCGGUAAACUGGCUGAGAGUAAGCAAAAAAAGAGCUUAGACCCUUAUAACCUGAUUUGGAUAAUGCCAACGGAGGGAAACUUAUUU